UACGGGGGGGGCAAGCGUUGUUCGGAAUUACUGGGCGUAAAGCGCACGUAGGCGGAUCUUUAAGUCAGAGGUGAAAUCCCAAGGCUCAACCUUGGAACUGCCUUUGAUACUGGGGAUCUUGAGUCCGGGAGAGGUGAGUGGAACUGCGAGUGUAGAGGUGAAAUUCGUAGAUAUUCGCAAGAACACCAGUGGCGAAGGCGGCUCACUGGCCCGGUACUGACGCUGAGGUGCGAAAGCGUGGGGAGCAAACAGG
RNAcentral lists this ribosomal RNA (253 nucleotides) under uncultured bacterium. RNAcentral's name for it is "partial 16S ribosomal RNA". It matches the Rfam family "Bacterial small subunit ribosomal RNA", at positions 524 to 776 of the family's 1533-position model. The record is from RNAcentral.